GGGGUUGUAGCUUAGUGAUAGAGUGCUUGCCUAGCAUGCAUGAGGCACUGGGUUUGAUCCUCAGCAACACAU
This 72-nucleotide transfer RNA is filed under the name Ictidomys tridecemlineatus (thirteen-lined ground squirrel). RNAcentral's name for it is "Spermophilus tridecemlineatus (thirteen-lined ground squirrel) tRNA". It matches the Rfam family "tRNA". Rfam says of the family: Transfer RNA (tRNA) molecules are approximately 80 nucleotides in length. The record is from Rfam by way of RNAcentral. Lineage: Eukaryota; Metazoa; Chordata; Mammalia; Rodentia; Sciuridae.